Long non-coding RNA from Schistocerca piceifrons (Central American locust), 245 nucleotides. RefSeq lists it as uncharacterized. The record is from RefSeq and is a predicted model, not a curated record. NCBI's taxonomy places the organism in Eukaryota, Metazoa, Arthropoda, Insecta, Orthoptera, Acrididae. The transcript is spliced from 2 exons.
UGUUAAUCAUCGCAACUGGCUUCCCGGGAAUCGCCUGAUGAAAAGCGGAUGCGUCUGGAAGCAGCACAACUUCAGAAAGCGAUAAAUGGCUGGGGCUCCAUCUACUGACAUUAUUUUGGACGAAAAUAAUAGAUUUAAAUGUAGUUCGUAUUUCCUUUUAAGUUCUUUGGCUUGUGCCGAGUGCGAAGAAAACUUCUGACAACGGCGAUUUCUGUUUAUGAUUGUAAGUACAAGUGAUGAUGUCU